Small nucleolar RNA from Ochotona princeps (American pika), 105 nucleotides. RefSeq annotates it as small nucleolar RNA U13. Lineage: Eukaryota; Metazoa; Chordata; Mammalia; Lagomorpha; Ochotonidae. The transcript has a single exon. The record is from RefSeq and is a predicted model, not a curated record.
AUCCUUCUUUGGUUUCUAAGCAUGAUGAUCGGGUUGACACAUGACUGUGUUACAUGUGCCUCCCUCCAAACCUUGUUGCAAUGUUAACACAUUACUCAUCUGAUG